Molecule: ribosomal RNA, 847 nt
Filed under: Arthrobacter sp. AS3(8)
Lineage: Bacteria; Bacillati; Actinomycetota; Actinomycetes; Micrococcales; Micrococcaceae
Description: bacterial SSU rRNA
Rfam family: Bacterial small subunit ribosomal RNA
Source: RNAcentral
ACCAUGCAAGUCGAACGAUGAUCUCCAGCUUGCUGGGGGGAUUAGUGGCGAACGGGUGAGUAACACGUGAGUAACCUGCCCUUGACUCUGGGAUAAGCCUGGGAAACUGGGUCUAAUACCGGAUACGACCGUCCCGCGCAUGCGGUGGUGGUGGAAAGCUUUUGCGGUUUUGGAUGGACUCGCGGCCUAUCAGCUUGUUGGUGGGGUAAUGGCCUACCAAGGCGACGACGGGUAGCCGGCCUGAGAGGGUGACCGGCCACACUGGGACUGAGACACGGCCCAGACUCCUACGGGAGGCAGCAGUGGGGAAUAUUGCACAAUGGGCGAAAGCCUGAUGCAGCGACGCCGCGUGAGGGAUGACGGCCUUCGGGUUGUAAACCUCUUUCAGUAGGGAAGAAGCGAAAGUGACGGUACCUGCAGAAGAAGCGCCGGCUAACUACGUGCCAGCAGCCGCGGUAAUACGUAGGGCGCAAGCGUUAUCCGGAAUUAUUGGGCGUAAAGAGCUCGUAGGCGGUUUGUCGCGUCUGCUGUGAAAGACCGGGGCUCAACUCCGGUUCUGCAGUGGGUACGGGCAGACUAGAGUGAUGUAGGGGAGACUGGAAUUCCUGGUGUAGCGGUGAAAUGCGCAGAUAUCAGGAGGAACACCGAUGGCGAAGGCAGGUCUCUGGGCAUUAACUGACGCUGAGGAGCGAAAGCAUGGGGAGCGAACAGGAUUAGAUACCCUGGUAGUCCAUGCCGUAAACGUUGGGCACUAGGUGUGGGGGACAUUCCACGUUUUCCGCGCCGUAGCUAACGCAUUAAGUGCCCCGCCUGGGGAGUACGGCCGCAAGGCUAAAACUCAAAGAAA